GAGGUAAUAGCUCAGUGGUAGAGUGUAUGCUUAGCAUGCACAAGGUCCUGGGUUCAGUCCCGUGUACCUCC
This 71-nucleotide transfer RNA is filed under the name Camelus bactrianus (Bactrian camel). It matches the Rfam family "tRNA". From Rfam's summary of the family: Transfer RNA (tRNA) molecules are approximately 80 nucleotides in length. Their secondary structure includes four short double-helical elements and three loops (D, anti-codon, and T loops). The record is from Rfam by way of RNAcentral. RNAcentral also lists the same sequence under 2 other names. Lineage: Eukaryota; Metazoa; Chordata; Mammalia; Artiodactyla; Camelidae.